RNAcentral lists this ribosomal RNA (609 nucleotides) under uncultured bacterium. Its description in RNAcentral is "bacterial SSU rRNA". It matches the Rfam family "Bacterial small subunit ribosomal RNA", at positions 338 to 948 of the family's 1533-position model. The record is from RNAcentral.
CCUACGGGAGGCAGCAGUAAGGAAUAUUGGUCAAUGGACGCAAGUCUGAACCAGCCAUGCCGCGUGAAGGAUUAAGGCCCUCUGGGUUGUAAACUUCUUUUAUAGGGGACGAAAAAAGGGCAUUCUUGCUCACUUGACGGUACCCUAGGAAUAAGCACCGGCUAACUCCGUGCCAGCAGCCGCGGUAAUACGGAGGGUGCAAGCGUUAUCCGGAUUUACUGGGUUUAAAGGGUGCGUAGGUGGGUUGGUAAGUCAGUGGUGAAAUCUUCGAGCUUAACUCGGAAACUGCCAUUGAUACUAUCAAUCUUGAAUCAUCUAGAGGUAAGCGGAAUAUGUCAUGUAGCGGUGAAAUGCUUAGAUAUGACAUAGAACACCAAUUGCGAAGGCAGCUUACUAUGGAUGCAUUGACACUGAGGCACGAAAGCGUGGGGAUCAAACAGGAUUAGAUACCCUGGUAGUCCACGCCCUAAACGAUGGAUACUCGACAUUUGUGAUAUACAAUAAGUGUCUGAGCGAAAGCAUUAAGUAUCCCACCUGGGAAGUACGACCGCAGGUUGAAACGUUAAGAUAGUAGCGUGNGAGAGCGACGACGACGACGACGGAGGGAGG